Molecule: transfer RNA, 86 nt
Filed under: Nelumbo nucifera (sacred lotus)
Lineage: Eukaryota; Viridiplantae; Streptophyta; Magnoliopsida; Proteales; Nelumbonaceae
Rfam family: tRNA
About the family: Transfer RNA (tRNA) molecules are approximately 80 nucleotides in length. Their secondary structure includes four short double-helical elements and three loops (D, anti-codon, and T loops). Further hydrogen bonds mediate the characteristic L-shaped molecular structure. tRNAs have two regions of fundamental functional importance: the anti-codon, which is responsible for specific mRNA codon recognition, and the 3' end, to which the tRNAs corresponding amino acid is attached (by aminoacyl-tRNA synthetases). tRNAs cope with the degeneracy of the genetic code in two manners: having more than one tRNA (with a specific anti-codon) for a particular amino acid; and 'wobble' base-pairing, i.e. permitting non-standard base-pairing at the 3rd anti-codon position.
Source: Rfam by way of RNAcentral
CCGACCUUAGCUCAGUUGGUAGAGCGGAGGACUGUAGUUUGAAAACAGAAAUCCUUAGGUCGCUGGUUCGAAUCCGGCAGGUCGGA